RNAcentral lists this long non-coding RNA (216 nucleotides) under Lathyrus oleraceus (garden pea). RNAcentral describes it as "Pisum sativum (pea) long non-coding RNA (PSAT_LNC014151)". Lineage: Eukaryota; Viridiplantae; Streptophyta; Magnoliopsida; Fabales; Fabaceae. The record is from RNAcentral.
UACAAUAAACUUGAAUCUAGUUCGGAAUUACCAUACAAGAUCAAUGCCAACAUUAUAAAUGGAACCUAUAAAUUGGAGACCCUGAUUGAAGAACCAAUCACGAGGACCUGGAACUCAAGCAGUACUUUAGUUAAGUAUUUCCUAGGACUCCCAAACAUGAAUCACUAACUGUUGUCAAGAUGUAAUGAUUUUGAUUUUAAUAAUACAAUGAUUUUU